GUGCCGCUGUCGCACACACAGAUCUGGCAUGGCUCUGGCUUCCACACAUCCCGGUCCGCAAACACCUGGCCGUCCAGGGUGCAGCUUCCGCCCGUGCCUAAGGGGGGCGACACCACAGAGAUACAGGGAAGAGGAUGGAAUGCAAUCUGUCUUUCAGGAAGAAAGAGAGGCAGAAAAGAAGAAGAAAGGGAGGAAAAGCGCCACCUCAUCAUUCCCCGGCUCAACCUCCAGCUCUGAUCGGAUCCUCAGAGCGUCACAAACCGACACACACGUACACACUGACACACACGCACAUUUAGCUUUUGUUCCAAUGUGUCCCUGAUGAAAAAAACACAUCGCCGUCAUUUCAGCAGCAACCCGCAAAGACUUAACUAUUAUUCACCAGUAGUUUCACUAUGUGGCAUUUUAAAUUGAGUGUCAAUCAUUCAGCAAACUGUGUGUAAUCUGCAGUAGUGUACGUCAGCUGUCAGUCAGCGAUCUUCAUUUAAAAUGACUUACAAAUACAGGGUUUAGUUUAGGUAUGUACAAAAAGUGGUUGUAGCAAAGUGUUAGCAGAAAUACUAACUAAUAACAGAACACAAAACACACAGAAAACCCUUGAAUAUUAUAUUGUAUGUUGCUAAUGUUAAUGCUAAUACACUGUGAAACUGAUAAAAGGGUUCACAUUUUGUUUUGCUGUACUGCCUACGAGGACAUAAGGGGUGUAGUUUUUAGUAAAAUGUCCUCCAUUUAAGAUGAUUUCUUUUGGCUGGAUGAUUAUGAAAAACUUGAAUUGUGCUUCAAGAAGGGAACCUCUCUUGUAAAAAACUUUUUGUGCCAGAGAAUGCAGAAUAUCUGUUUUAAGACAGAGCCAAAUCUAUAUUCUGUAAUUCUGUAAUGAAAUGAAAUGUUAAAUCACUGCAACUGUAUUUUUGUAGUCUUGUAAACCCAUGAGGGUUGGAUACUUUGUGUGCAUGACACCAAAGUCAAAUCGUAAUAGAUUAUGUGUUUUGACCCAAUGUUUGACAUUAUUCAGCUUUUUAUGUUGAUUAUACAAUUUAAAACUGAGAGUACAUUGAAACAAAUGACUGUAAAAUAAGUUUGUAUUCUUCCAUUUACUAUGUGAGAGGAGUGACAGUGUUGCCUUGUUUCAUUAUUUAUUACUCAAUACACAAGAAUAUUAACAAUUUAUUUAUUUUUUAUUUAUUUUAUUUAUGUUGUAUUGCUCAAUCUCUAACUGCAUCAGAAACUUGCAUGAAAAAGCACAAGCAGCCAGUCACAGUCUCCAUGUGCUAUCUCUUAGCCACGGCUGCCCCUACGUGUAGUUACGUUUUUGAGGAGGCUCGCAUCAGCUAGCCUACAGCGUGGCUUCGGAGCCUUCAGAUAAACCCAGUCCAACAGGGUACAAUCUUGACACAUCAUGACAAGCUGAUCAGGACCUGCAUGAAAAAAACAAACAUAAAACAAAAAUAAAUACAUAUAUAUAAAUGCUACUCUAUAUUUAUCCCAAUUUAAAACUACCUAAACAGGAGGUGUGUUGUUUUAUGAAUUUGGCACAAUCAUUUCAAUCAAAACAUUUUUGUAUUAAAACAUUUAUUUUUAUUGAUAAUAAAGUUUAAAGUUAAAAUAAGCAACGCUGGACUAUUCCACUACACAGGCUCUUCCACAUUGAAUCAAUCAGUUUGAGGAACGAGCGCAUGUCAGUCCCUCCAGGAAUUGACGCGAAUUCAGUUGUGCAAACUUGCAAUUUUGUCCAAUUACUGCAACUUUUCCACAAAUUUGAUCAAUCAUUGUAGUUUCCUGCGAGUUUCACCAAUUGCAACGCCUCCUGGCACAAAACAGUGUGCCAUACGUCACCGAACUACCAGAUUUCCUUCUCACUGGAACACGUUGCCAUUGAUUUUUUAUUAAUUAUUUGAAAAAACUAUUUUUGCUAUUUUCACGCUCAAAACAACAAAGCCCUUCUCUUGGCUCAACCAAACAUUAAUUAAAGAAGCGUGGAGCCAACCAGCGCAGCAUUCACAGUUUUUAAAUGCAACAUGAAACUGUGAAAACCACUUUCCAAAAAACAUAUCUUGAUAACUGAGUGCCUGCACUUUCUGACUGAAUUGGAAAUUCCAGUUUCUAUGCUGUUUGGAAUGAAACGGGUGUGAAUAAACAUGAAAGGGUUUUUGCUAAGCUGCCUUCAAAAUUGCUGUAAUUGUAGCUCAUGCAGGGUAAAACGGCCAGAAAUAAAGAGAUGCUAAAAACA
Long non-coding RNA from Dicentrarchus labrax (European seabass), 2230 nucleotides. RefSeq lists it as uncharacterized. NCBI's taxonomy places the organism in Eukaryota, Metazoa, Chordata, Actinopteri, Moronidae. The transcript is spliced from 2 exons. The record is from RefSeq and is a predicted model, not a curated record.